RNAcentral lists this unclassified non-coding RNA (866 nucleotides) under Triptilion cordifolium. RNAcentral describes it as "partial external transcribed spacer". Lineage: Eukaryota; Viridiplantae; Streptophyta; Magnoliopsida; Asterales; Asteraceae. The record is from RNAcentral.
UCCUUCUUUUUCGGGCAUAAUGUAUAUAUAGGGGGGUAUAGUGGGUUGAGAUGAAUGAUGCUUGCAUGGCAUGCUACAGCCCCCCCUUGGUGGCAUGCUAAUGACAAGCAUCCGGCCCGAUUUCUAGGUGUACGUCGGAUCGAUGUCGUGUGGCCCGUUGCGGUUUCGUGUUGGUUUGCUGAUCGUCGAAGCUCGUCCCGUCGCGGUGCAGUAACCUGCCUCGAGCCUCGUGUCCCGUGGACACAUGUGGCAUGGGGGAGGAGAAGAUCUCGACGGGAUUGGCCAAUACGUUGACGCGGCUUGGACGGAGUCUGCUAUCGUGUCAUGCGAUGUCGGUGUUUANGAGUUUCUCGUACCGUUCGGUGCAUUUCGGGAGCUUCUUCGUGCUUGUGGUUGUUUGCUUGGCUUUCGUGCUGGGUUUGUGGCUACUUGUGCGGGUUGUUUCGGGGAAUGUUUAUCGUAAAGGUGCAUGAGUGGCGUUUGGCGUGUUGCUGGUGGUUGGAUGACUGCAUUCGCAGCAACGUCCACCGGGGCAUGCCUCUUCAUUUACGGCGAACGGUUGCUUGUCAACCGGGAGCAUUUGUCGGGUUUUCCUGUGCUGCGUACCUACUUUAGGGCAUGGCGUUGGUUGGUUAAUGUGGAUUUUCGUUCCACGUCGCUCGCGUGGCGUGGGACGAACUAGAACUGGCCUCCAUGAUGAUCCAUGUCUUUGACGCAUUGCGUCUUUGGCAUGGCCCAUUGUGCGUGGCUUGGUUUCCUGGAUACGGAACCUUAUGUGGGCAUGGGGUUGCUUGCGACCCCGAUUUUGCCCUCGUCAAGCGUUCUUGCCCAUAGAAAACAACACGCGGUAGUGAGUCGACUGUUUG